AGUUUUCUCUCUGUAAGAAAAAAAAAACGUUAAUCGGGUGAACUCUGUAGCCCAUUUGUUUUUGUUGAUAUUUAAAAAGCGUUCAAGAGCCUGUGAUAUCAAGAGAUAGUCUAAUCUAAAUACCUGGAAAAUACUAACGUCACUUCCUUUAGAUUAAACAGUUCCGGAUCCCAGUGGGAGUUGUUCAUCACUGGUAACUAACUUUCCAUCUCACAGGAGAAUUGAUCCUUGUUAAACAUGAAAAGGCGCGUGCAAUCGUACACACGAGUGCAGACAGCAGGGGUGGAGGCCACAAGGGUAACAACCUCUGUAGAGGCGGCCGUGAGGGACAGGAAUGGUCAGAUUCGACACGUCCAAGUCAGGCAGGAAAAAACCGUUGUCCAAGCAACUAGCCGUAGUCUCCCGGCCACAAACAGAGGUGCAAUUAAUUACCGCUAAGCGUCAUGAAGAUGUGACAUUGAAGCUUACCACUGACACCAUUAUCUCUGAGUAACUAUAGAACUGAUAUCAAUAAUGAAUGUUGAUUAAUACAUCGCGCAUGUAAUUCAUCAAAUGUUAUAAUUGUGUAAGCAAAGAUAAAUUUUGUUUGAUUGCGCUGUGAUAAUUUUACAAGAAACUAGUCCAAGUCAUA
Long non-coding RNA from Ostrea edulis (European flat oyster), 631 nucleotides. RefSeq lists it as uncharacterized. NCBI's taxonomy places the organism in Eukaryota, Metazoa, Mollusca, Bivalvia, Ostreida, Ostreidae. The transcript is spliced from 2 exons. The record is from RefSeq and is a predicted model, not a curated record.